This 254-nucleotide ribosomal RNA is filed under the name uncultured bacterium. RNAcentral's name for it is "partial 16S ribosomal RNA". It matches the Rfam family "Bacterial small subunit ribosomal RNA", at positions 524 to 776 of the family's 1533-position model. The record is from RNAcentral.
UACGUAGGGUGCAAGCGUUGUCCGGAAUUAUUGGGCGUAAAGAGCUUGUAGGCGGUUUGUUGCGUCGACUGUGAAAACCUGCGGCUCAACCGUGUGGUCUGCAGUCGAUACGGGCAGGCUGGAGUUCGGUAGGGGAGACUGGAAUUCCUGGUGUAGCGGUGAAAUGCGCAGAUAUCAGGAGGAACACCGGUGGCGAAGGCGGGUCUCUGGGCCGAUACUGACGCUGAGGAGCGAAAGCGUGGGGAGCGAACAGG